CCCACGGCUCUGCCGGCAGAGUCGCAGGCGGAUCUCCCCCCUCCCCGUCAUCCAUCCGCCACCGCCUCUCCCACGCUCCCACCGUCCCACCCCAACCGGCGAAAGAAAAUUCGGUCGCGAGCUCGCAAUCCAGCUCCUCCCCCGCCACCCCACGCACGACGCCGGCUCCUCCCGCGCGCUCGCGACCUCGCCCCGCUCCGACAUCCCUGCGGCACCUCCCGCCUGUGGCCUCCCCGCCGACGUCCCCUACCUUCCCCUCUUCUUCAUUUGGCAAGUCCUCGCAGCCUCGCCGCCGGUGCAGAGCCGCCACCAUGGAGCAGCUCCGAAGCCGGCCGGAUUUUCCGGCCAAAUCCGGCCCUCUCCGCCAUUGGUGAGCACACCUCUGAGUUCCCCUCCCUCUCCUCUCCCUCCCUCACACGUAAACUGCUGUGCUGGGACGCUCGAGAUCGGGGCCGAUUGCUCGAGCUGCUCGCCGUACUUGCCAUCGUGUCGUCCCCGUCGCCCCGCACUGCCGCCGUCGCGUCGUCCAACCAUCCCACCGCGCCGCCGCUGCGGCGUCGAUCCACAGCCACGUCGCCGCUGCAGCCCCACCACCCACCGCGGCACCACGCCGCCUCUGCGGCGUCGACCCCAGCGUCGCCACGGUGCCGCCGUCGCGCCGCCUCCAUCCAGACGCCCUGCCGUCAGUCCGCUUGGUGACCAGGGCCUCAUGUAGAUGGGUCCAGGGGUUGCAGGUGUGCUGCCCCAUUCAAGAGGGCACACGCCCAUUAGCUAUUCUACAGAUGGCUUCAAUCGCGUGGAUAGAUGCAGUGACAGUUCCUUGGUACGAAAUGCACCUGCUAAGCACACUGCUCACCAGAAGUUCGAUGGAAUGCCUCACAGGACCAUUGUUCGAGGGAAGAUCAAUUCAGCAAGAGGUGUCGGGGGCAGAGAACUCAGAGCAAAUCAAUUUUUCUGAAUAAACUAAAGCAGAAUUGCACUGUAUAUGGUAUGCUCAUCUGUACUUGUUUCUGUGUUCCAGAGCUUCCCUCAACAUCUAAUAACCCUUUUGGUAAUCAAUGUCCAUGCUUCAUUAGUUUAGGUAAGCAAUCUGGGUCUGAAUUGCGUUGCCAUCCUGCAUUACUUUAGGAUAAUCCCUUCCUUAGUUUGAUUGUUUGUCGUUUGAGUGGAUCAUCAAGCCUGAAAAUCUACAGUGUUUCUCAGGACAUCAAACUUGAGUUCUAGGUGCUGCCUGAAAAUAUUGCUGAGUUUAUUAUGCCAUUUCAGUUCUUGGAGAUGCAUUUCUUCCUUGGCUAAAUCACCCUGCUUCCCUAUUAGUUUGUGAUGAUGAUAUGUGAAGAAAUUUUUGAACCUUUCCCCAUUAUUAGUGGUAACUGUCGGCUUCUUUAUUUGAGUGCGGAAGAACACAUGUACUUAUAUGUAUGGGCAGGGCCAAUAAUUUUCUAUAUCCACACUGCCUUAGUUAAAGUCAGUAGCAUGUUUAGUUGUACAGGAGAUACGCCUGGCAUGUUAGUCUAUUUCCUUGUCUAAUCUCCUUCCUUGAAUAUUGGGAUCUCUAUCAUUUUGGUUGUAACCGUAUAUGGCAAAAUAAUGCAAGCUAAAGCUAUCACAUAUUUUGAUUAUUACUGCAUCUGGACGUUCCGAGUAUUUUCUAAGAGUAUGUGAGUUGAGAAUUUGCUAUGGUACUAUCUCAAACGGUCUCAACUAGAUUAUUUUAUUUGCAGAUCAUUCAAUAGCAACCAUUUGGCUGGACAGAUACCAGAUAUUUUUCAGCACUCAACUUUGACUUGUCUAAACAAUGUUAUCCUAGACUACCAUUAACUGAUAAUUUCAGAACUUGCUAUGAUAGUAUCUAAAACUGUCUCAACUAGAUUCUUUUAUUUCCAUGUCCAAAUAUGAGUGAUUGUUUGUAUGAUUUUUUACCAUUUAUUUAGUAGUUACAUCCUUACAAGUUUUGUUUGUUAGCUGACUAGAGGUUUUUUUUUUAACAUCAGUUUGCCAUGUUUGAGAUGAGAGAUAGUGAGGUACCACUUAUAUGCCUCCAUGCUCUGAUGGCCAAUUGGAGAGGUAAGUUUUCAAAGUUUUUCUUAUUUAUUUCCACAUUUAGGUGCCCAAGGGUUGGUGCAGAAGAUUGAAGCUACAAGCAUGCAACUACUGAGGAUCAUGCCUCAGGUGUCACAAAAUCUUGUGUCAGUCACUUGAAUUCAUUGGUUGAAAAAUCGGAUGCUAGGCAACAGAAUUGCCCAAUAGUCAUUUUUUUAUUGACGAUGAUUUGUACUUCUGUUUAAUGUAUAGUGCAUUCCUCCAUUGCUACAUGUGGUUAAAAAUAUUUCAUAUGAUAAAGAUCGAUGCUUAUAGA
Molecule: long non-coding RNA, 2359 nt
Organism: Panicum hallii
Lineage: Eukaryota; Viridiplantae; Streptophyta; Magnoliopsida; Poales; Poaceae
Exons: 2
Source: RefSeq, a predicted model, not a curated record